GGGGCGGGACCUAAUGACAAGAGGCAUCAGACUGCACCUUUAUCUGCGGACACCUGGACCUUCUCUUCAGGCUUCUCUCAGUGAUUAGAAUAUAAAAGUCAGCAAGUAUGCCUAGUACUAUUGAGGUGAUAUAUACAAUUUACCUCUGGUACCGGAAAUAGUUUCUGCCAUUCUGUUCUGAGGCCUGUCUGCAAAGUCAACUCCUUUAUUCACCAGAACUUCUUUUAGUCCUUUGAGUCCCCGGAUCACCACAGCCGGUGUGAAUCCCAGGUAGAUGCUGUACACCGGACCAUACACCUCGGAGAACUGACACAGAAGGGUCAUAUUGUGUGUUAGCUAUAACAACUUGGCCCCCUCUACUGAACAGCGUGAACGGAAAGACCGCCUCCCCAUGUUGGAACUCUGGAUUGUCCAGGAACGUCUGAAACAAGGACUUGUGCCCCCCUAAAUUUCGAAUGCGUCUGAGAAUAUGCCACAGGCGAUAUGUCGACCAAAGAAGAGGGUUAUCUUUCAAUUCCUGGUCGAAUUCCGCUUCCACCCCGUGAAGGAAAGAUAUUAGGUUUCUGGACCCUACAAAUUGUGCCUCCAGCUGUGUAUUAGCAUAAGUGUUACUAUCAUGUAACCAGUCUCUUAAAAAUCUCAAUAAAGAAGCAUGGUUGUA
Pseudophryne corroboree (corroboree frog) is the source of this 661-nucleotide long non-coding RNA. RefSeq lists it as uncharacterized. The record is from RefSeq and is a predicted model, not a curated record. The transcript has 2 exons. NCBI's taxonomy places the organism in Eukaryota, Metazoa, Chordata, Amphibia, Anura, Myobatrachidae.